AGUGAACGCUGGCGGCAGGCCUAAUACAUGCAAGUCGAACGGCAGCACAGUGGAGCUUGCUCCAUGGGCGGCGAGUGGCGGACGGGUAAGGAAUACAUGGGAAUCUGCCCAGUCGUGGGGGAUAACGUAUGGAAACGUACGCUAAUACCGCAUGCGCCCUUCGGGGGAAAGUCGGGGACCGCAAGGCCUGACGCGAUUGGAUGAGCCCAUGUUCGAUUAGCUAGUUGGCGGGGUAACGGCCCACCAAGGCGACGAUCGAUAGCUGGUCUGAGAGGAUGAUCAGCCACACUGGAACUGAGACACGGUCCAGACUCCUACGGGAGGCAGCAGUAGGGAAUAUUGGACAAUGGGGGCAACCCUGAUCCAGCCAUGCCGCGUGAGUGAAGAAGGCCCUCGGGUUGUAAAGCUCUUUUGUUGGGGAAAAAAGCAGUUGGUUAAUACCCGAUUGUCUGACGGUACCCAAGAAUAAGCACCGGCUAACUUCGUGCCAGCAGCCGCGGUAAU
RNAcentral lists this ribosomal RNA (504 nucleotides) under uncultured bacterium. Its description in RNAcentral is "bacterial SSU rRNA". It matches the Rfam family "Bacterial small subunit ribosomal RNA", at positions 29 to 524 of the family's 1533-position model. The record is from RNAcentral.